UAUACAGCGAAACUGCGAAUGGCUCAUUAUAUAAGUUAUCGUUUAUUUGAUAGUACCUUACUACUUGGAUAACCGUGGUAAUUCUAGAGCUAAUACAUGCUGAAAAUCCCGACUUCGGAAGGGAUGUAUUUAUUAGAUUAAAAACCAAUGCCCUCUGGGCUCUCUGGUGAUUCAUGAUAACUUCUCGAAUCGCAUGGCCUUGCGCCGGCGAUGGUUCAUUCAAAUUUCUUCCCUAUCAACUUUCGAUGUUUGGGUAGUGGCCAAACAUGGUUGCAACGGGUAACGGAGGGUUAGGGCUCGACCCCGGAGAAGGAGCCUGAGAAACGGCUACUACAUCCAAGGAAGGCAGCAGGCGCGCAAAUUACCCAAUCCCGAUUCGGGGAGGUAGUGACAAUAAAUACUGAUACAGGGCUCUUUUGGGUCUUGUAAUUGGAAUGAGUACAAUUUAAAUCCCUUAACGAGGAACAAUUGGAGGGCAAGUCUGGUGCCAGCAGCCGCGGUAAUUCCAGCUCCAAUAGCGUAUAUUAAAGUUGUUGUGGUUAAAAAGCUCGUAGUUGAACCUUGGGCCUGGCUGGCCGGUCCGCCUCACCGCGUGUACUGGUCCGGCCGGGUCUUUCCCUCUGUGGAACCCCAUGCCCUUCACUGGGUGUGGCGGGGAAACAGGACUUUUACUUUGAAAAAAUUAGAGUGCUCCAGGCAGGCCUAUGCUCGAAUACAUUAGCAUGGAAUAAUGAAAUAGGACGUGCGGUUCUAUUUUGUUGGUUUCUAGGACCGCCGUAAUGAUUAAUAGGGACAGUCGGGGGCAUCAGUAUUCAAUUGUCAGAGGUGAAAUUCUUGGAUUUAUUGAAGACUAACUACUGCGAAAGCAUUUGCCAAGGAUGUUUUCAUUAAUCAGGAACGAAAGUUAGGGGAUCGAAGACGAUCAGAUACCGUCGUAGUCUUAACCAUAAACUAUGCCGACUAGGGAUCGGACGAUGUUAUUUUUUGACUCGUUCGGCACCUUACGAGAAAUCAAAGUGC
This 1020-nucleotide ribosomal RNA is filed under the name Metarhizium guniujiangense. RNAcentral's name for it is "SSU rRNA". It matches the Rfam family "Eukaryotic small subunit ribosomal RNA", at positions 75 to 1106 of the family's 1831-position model. The record is from RNAcentral. Lineage: Eukaryota; Fungi; Ascomycota; Sordariomycetes; Hypocreales; Clavicipitaceae.